CUAACAAUGAAAAUGUGCUUUCAGGCGUGAAAGAAAUGCUCUCUUCUAAAUUCCAAAUGAAAGAUCUGGGGAAACUUAACCAUUUUCUAGGAAUAGAUUUUCUUCAAGAAAAAGAAUGUGUCAAAAUGUCACAGAAAAUAUAUAUUGAAAACAUUUUAAAAAGAUUUAACAUGCAAAACUGUAAGCCAAGGUUAACACCCUGUGAACAGAAAUGGACUCAUUCUGAUAAAUUCGAGACAUUACCAGAUGUGAGGAGAUAUCGUGAAGCGGUAGGAUGUCUUAUUUAUCUGAGCUAUUGUACGCGACCUGAUUUAAGCUAUGUUGUUAGCAAAUUGUCACAACACUUCAAUGCGCCAACCGUUGAUGAUUGGACAGCAGUGAAACAUGUUCUGAGGUAUCUAAAAGGUAGUCGAGGAAAAGAACUGUGUUUUAGGAAAUGUUCAAGUGGAAAACUAGGUCUACAAGCAUAUAGUGAUGCAGAUUGGGCAUCCGAUGUUUCUGAUAGACGCAGUAUGACAGGUUAUUGUGUAAGCCUAAAUGAAAAUGGUCCUUUGAUAUCAUGGAAAACCAAAAAGCAGACAACUACAGCACUAUCAACUUGUGAAGCCGAAUACAUGGCAUUAGCAGCAACAAUUCAGGAAUGUAUGUAUUUGACUUAUUUGAUUCGAGAUCUUGAUGAAUUUAAGUAUGAAGUACCUAUGAUAUGGGAGGACAAUCAGGGAACAAUCGCUUUGUCAAAAAAUCCAGUGAACAGACAAAGAUGUAAACACAUUGAUGUGAAAUAUCAUUUUAUAAGGUCAGCUGUACAUGAAAGGAAAGUGCUCAUUGAUUACUGUCCAACUGAGUCAAUGGUAGCAGAUAUGAUGACGAAACCAGUUUCAAAGUCUAAGUUAGACAAAUUCUCUGUAUUUGUGUUUGGAAUGUAAGAUGUUUUUUUCCGGAGGACUGUUUUUCCCCAACCUGUCUACAAGUGGGGGUGUUGGAUUGUGUGUCCACAGGUGUUUGUACUUUGCGUCACAAUAAAAAUGACGGUAAAAGGCUCCGCCCACCACCUAUCCAUGUCUCGCCAUGCAACGACUUUGUAGAUGGACUGGAGAUGUGUAGUGGAAGAGUCCUCCGUCAGGAAUGAGAUAUGUGUGUUGACUUUUUAUUCUCCCUCAAAAUUAUUAUGCCAUAACGCUGCCCAGAGCAGCUCUGCUAACAGAAAAACUCAAAAACCGGGAAUCCCCGGCAGCCUACGUCUAUUGCAGCAUAACUGAGGGAGGAUUCAGGGUCACCUGGUCCAGCCCUAACUAUAUGCUUUAGCAAAAAGGAAAGUUUUAAGCCUAAUCUUGAAAGUAGAGAUAGUGUCUGCACUCAAAAAAAUCAACUAGGGCAUGUGUUUGAUUAACACUCAUUAAAUGAUUCAUUCUUUUUAGUUGAAUAUGAAUCAGAGAAAAACUUUGAUGAGUUAAAUUCGUUCAUGACAAUCCAAUGAGAAUGAGGUCCAUCAAACCAACAGCUCUGAUAGUGUCAUGUAUUGCGCAUGCUCCACGCCCACCGGAUGCGGAAAGGUCCGUUGAGACGUUAACGAGCGCACGUGGAGUUACUUCUUUGGCAUACCUGAUAGUGAGGUAAGUAAUUCACAUAUUGCUUGAUAUAUUUAUUUAGGUUAGUGGUGUGAGAGAUAAAUACUAGUAGUUAAAAAUUUUUUACCUGUGUAGUGUGGUGACUUAGAGGAGCUUUAUAUAUAGCAGGGAGUGUGUAGAGCCAAACAUUUUUCAAAUGUAAGUGGGUGAAUUUGAUUUUUUUUUUUUUUAACUUAACCAGAGUCGCUAAUUGUUGCAACAGAGCAAAAACUGAUGAGGCUAUUUUGGUUCAUCACCGUCUACAAGACUGUCAGUGUGGCCAAGUGUCUUCACAGUCCCUCGUUUCAGCUAUGAGGCUGAACUGCAACUUGAAAAGGCCAAUGCGGAGUUCAUUCCUGGUGGAACUCAUUUGACCCCCUCACCAAAACUGAAAUCCCACCUUUUAGAAAGGCUGGCUUAAGAAAUAAUAAAAUUUAAAGUCUAUCCAACUGACAAUGACCUGAAUGAAGUUGCAGAAGUCCUUGUCAAACAGCAUCCUUGUCUGAGGGAGCAGGGAUACUUCAAUGGCUGUUAUGGUUGGAAAAUUAGUCUCAAGUAUAAAAUGGCCAAUGUCCGGACCAAACUGAGAGGCCUGGGCUGUGCUGAGGUGUUGGUAAAUUCACUAAAGAACAAGGCCCAAGACAAAAGUCAGGCAGCAUUGAAUGUGAAAAAGCCUAGAAGAGCAGAAGUCAAUUGCUGUCCGCAGUAUCCAAAAGGAGAAACCACUGACAGCCUGGAAAAAGAGAGAAUUGCACUGCUUUCAGAGGUUCAGAAGAGAAACGAUGACAAUAUAGUGACAAUGAAAAUGCAGAAGACUUUUUCGUACAGAAGGCAAGAAGUUUUUCAAGGACAGCCCUU
Oreochromis aureus is the source of this 2465-nucleotide long non-coding RNA. The record is from Ensembl. Lineage: Eukaryota; Metazoa; Chordata; Actinopteri; Cichliformes; Cichlidae.